CAGUCGCCGCGGUAAAACGGAGGGUGCAAGCGUUAAUCGGAAUUACUGGGCGUAAAGCGCACGCAGGCGGUCUGACAAGUCAGAUGUGAAAUCCCCGGGCUUAACCUGGGAACUGCAUUUGAAACUGUCAGGCUGGAGUCUUGUAGAGGGGGGUGGAAUUCCAGGUGUAGCGGUGAAAUGCGUAGAGAUCUGGAGGAAUACCGGUGGCGAAGGCGGCCCCCUGGACAAAGACUGACGCUCAGGUGCGAAAGCGUGGGGAGCAAACAGGAUUAGAUACCCGCGUAGUCCCUGUCUCUUAUAA
RNAcentral lists this ribosomal RNA (301 nucleotides) under uncultured bacterium. RNAcentral describes it as "partial 16S ribosomal RNA". It matches the Rfam family "Bacterial small subunit ribosomal RNA", at positions 509 to 809 of the family's 1533-position model. The record is from RNAcentral.